RNAcentral lists this long non-coding RNA (1727 nucleotides) under Manihot esculenta (cassava). Its description in RNAcentral is "long non-coding RNA (MESC_LNC000849)". Lineage: Eukaryota; Viridiplantae; Streptophyta; Magnoliopsida; Malpighiales; Euphorbiaceae. The record is from RNAcentral.
CCCUCUCGAUCUUCAAGAGGUAAGAGCUGAUCUUAAGCUCCUUAUAUGUUUUAAGUAAGUUUUAAGUUGUUUUAUGGGUAGAGAUGCAUGUUUAGGCUUGUUGAUGAGUUUAUGGGUUUUGAUGUUUUGAUGAACAAUGUAUGUUGUUUGUGUGUGUUUGAAGUGUUGUAGUUGGGGUAUUUAAUAGUUUGAGACCCCUAGGUGUGAUGUAUGGUGUUUAUGCAUGUUUUAGAACAAGUUUAUGCAUGAUUGGUGAGUUUGGAGGCAAAAAUGCAUAAGGGAGCCAAGUUUCUGCCCUUUGGCAGAAACCAGGUUCGGCAGCCGAAGGGAGGUUCGGCAGCCGAAGGGAGUUUCGGCCGCCGAACAUGGCUUGGGAGGCAGCUUUAGGCUGCCGAAGCUUGCCCCCGAAAGUUGGAGUUUCGGCUCUGUCCGAGACUUUCGGCCGCCGAAGGUGCCGCCGAACAUGCAUGAGUUUCGUCUCUGUUUGGGAGUUUCGGCCGCCGAAGGUGCCGCCGAACCUGCCUGACUUUCGGCUCUGGAGGAACUUCCGGCCGCCGAAGGUGCCGCCGAAAGUGCCCUAUCCAGCCUUUUCUUGCAUGUUUUCUAGGGGUGUUUUGAGGUGUUUUUAGGAGGUUUUUUGGGGGUAUGUUUAGAGUCUUAUUUAUGUUUGUUUGGUACCUCAUCUAAGUCCACCUGUGUAGGUUCGGACCCGAGGAACCGAGAUCCCCGGCAGUGAGAUAGCUGCCUUUGAGUUGUUAAAGUUUCAGUCAUCAGGUGAGUGGAACAACCCCUUAAGUUUUAAAGUAAAGUAAAUGAAUAAAUGAAUGAAUCAUAAAGCAUUGCCCAUGCAUCACUAAUGCCAUGCAAUAUUUCAGGAUGUUUGCAUUAGAAUUCACGAAUAUGCUGCAUUGCAUAAAUUGAUGUUGAUGUGGAUGGUUGAUUGGAUGAUCCAUGGUCCUCGAUAUGUAUGAUGAGAUAUGGCAUGUUAUGUAUGAAAGUCCAGGUUGUACCCAUUCUACGUCCCUGGCACAAAGAAAGAGAAAGUCCAGGUUGUACCCAUUCUACGUCCCUGGCACAAAGAAAGAGAAAGACCGGUUGACCCAUUCUACGUCCCGGCAUAUUGGAAUGUUAUGUUAUGAUAAGUAAGAGAAAGCCCGGUUGUAUCCAUUCUACGUCCCGGCACUUUGGAAAGGAAGAGGACUAAUGGUGACAAUACCAUCCUUUAUGUGAUUAGCUGUGAUGUGUUGCAUUUCAUGAAAGCAUGAAAAGAAGAAAAAAAAAAGUUAAAUAAUAUGUUGAAAUAAAAUAAAAUAAAAUAAAUAAUAAAUAAUGAAUAAUAAUAAUAAUAAAGGAAAUAAUAAAAUCAAUGUUUUUAGUUCUGCUCAUUGGGCUUUAUAGCUCACCCCCUCUCCCCUAACCCCAGUCUUGCAGGUGCAGAGUAGAUAGAGAAGUCAGCAGAGUAAGAGAAGUUUAUGUAAUAGCUUAGCUGUGGACAUGGUUUGUUUGUAAUGUAAAAGUAUGAUAUGUAAUGUAAUGAAAGUUUAAUAGUGUGCUUGACUAGAGUCUGUUGUAUUCCCUGUACACAUGGUCUUGUAUGAGAUAUAAUGUUUUUAUGAUGCCUAUGUAACCCAAGCCUAUGUUAUGUUAUGUUACCCCAUUGGAGUAUUUGAUGAGGACUCCAAUGAGAGGUUUAUGUUAUGUUUGUGCAUGCACAGGCUAGGCUUGGC